AAGUCGUAACAAGGUUUCCGUAGGUGAACCUGCGGAAGGAUCAUUAACACGUACCCAACGUUAAAACAACCCCGUGGUGAAAGCAGCAAUUCCUGGUAAUCAUUGUUGACCAGCUUUUGAGUCAGGGACCUCUGCAGAUUGUUAUAUUUUCUAGCUACGGUUGAGCGAUUGCAUCUAGUGACCCAAGUAAUCAGUGUUCUGAAAGUGUCAUUGUGUAAGGUGGCGCAGUCACGCUGUAGCCACAGCCGGCGACCCUGCUCCUUUACGACAACUACAGUCUAACUUCGCCGCGCGUGAAAUUCGCACGGCACCAAAAACCGAAAUUGUUAACAAUGGAUAUCUUGGUUCU
Molecule: unclassified non-coding RNA, 349 nt
Filed under: fungal sp.
Lineage: Eukaryota; Fungi
Description: partial internal transcribed spacer region
Rfam family: Eukaryotic small subunit ribosomal RNA (bases 1-46)
Source: RNAcentral